RNAcentral lists this ribosomal RNA (460 nucleotides) under uncultured bacterium. RNAcentral's name for it is "partial 16S ribosomal RNA". It matches the Rfam family "Bacterial small subunit ribosomal RNA", at positions 338 to 795 of the family's 1533-position model. The record is from RNAcentral.
CCUACGGGUGGCAGCAGUGAGGAAUAUUGGUCAAUGGGCGAGAGCCUGAACCAGCCAAGUCGCGUGAAGGAUGAAGGAUCUAUGGGUUGUAAACUUCUUUUAUAUGGGAAUAAAGUGAGGCACGUGUGCCUUUUUGUAUGUACCAUAUGAAUAAGCAUCGGCUAACUCCGUGCCAGCAGCCGCGGUAAUACGGAGGAUGCGAGCGUUAUUCGGAUUUAUUGGGUUUAAAGGGUGCGUAGGGGGUUAGUUAAGUCCGCGGUGAAGGUUUGGGGCUCAACCCUAAAAUUGCCGUUGAUACUGGUUGCCUUGAGUAUAUUUGAGGUAGGCGGAAUUCGUGGUGUAGCGGUGAAAUGCUUAGAUAUCACGCAGAACUCCGAUUUCGAAGGCAGCUUACUAAACUAUCACUGACACUGAUGCUCGAAAGCGUGGGUAUCAAACAGGAUUAGAUACCCGUGUAGUC